Molecule: long non-coding RNA, 1292 nt
Filed under: Bos mutus (wild yak)
Lineage: Eukaryota; Metazoa; Chordata; Mammalia; Artiodactyla; Bovidae
Description: lncRNA (ENSBMUG00000026712.1)
Source: RNAcentral
CUCAAUUUGGACAAAUUGGAUCACAGAGUGGUUUCUGCCCUCUAUGGGUGUAUUUUCUGUGUGUGUGGCCAGUGUUCAGCAGAUAAAUUCCGAAUCUCCACUUCCUUUCUUUGUAGAGGCAGAGAGAGCAUACUGUGUUACUGAAAUACUCCAUGGAAGAACUUGAAAGAAACAAAACUGGUCUUUAACUUGUCAGUCCCCUUUUGCUCAGAACCAAAAAUGAAGUCUCUGUGUAACCAAAUGGCUCAUAUCAAAUGUUUUUGAUCUUUUAGAACAGAAGAAUCGAUAACAGAAGAUGAUAAGAGGAGAAACUAUGGAGGAGUGUAUGUUGGUCUACCAUCUGAAGCUGUCAAUAUGGUGUCCAAUCAGACAAAGACUGUGCAGAAAAAUUAGAAGAAAAAAAUACCAUGACUCAAUGAUCAAGAGCCUGUUCAUCAAGAUCUGGAUGAAAUUUUUCCUUCAUGGGAUUUUGUAAUGUGCACAGACAUUUCCAAGGAAAUUCUAAACAGUCGCCACCCCUCCCCCCAAAUUCUUAGUUGGUAGUUGAAACCACGGGUACAUACUGAAUGUUGUGGUACUAGAAGGGAAUUGGUUAAACAACAUGCUUGGAUAUGGAACUUUCUGUGAUCCACCUGCAGAAGACAAACUUAUGAAGGGUUCUUGCCCAGCCGGUCGCUGUGUCCCUGCUGUGUUCUCACCUGAACAUCCCCACAGCUCAUGAAGAUCAUGUCUUUUCACUGAUGCUUUUUUGAUAGUUUUUAUAAAUUAAAAUCCUUCAUCUAUUUAUAACUUAAAAUAAUAAGGCACUAUCAACGAGUUACCCAAAGUAAUAUAUUUGUCUGUUAUUUUUCACUAUUUCUACUUCAUGUUGAUUUUUAGCUGUAAAAUUGAUUAAAUUGAUAACUUCCUGCUAUCUCCCUUUUUUACUAUUGGUUUUCAGCUUUAUUUAAAUGUCAAAGGAGUUUCUUUAUUGGGAACAACACAUUACAUGGCAAUACUUCAACUGCUGAGGUUUGCAUGCCGUACGUACAUUUCAAUUAACUUCUUCUUUUCUUUAGUUAAAGGCUUAUGUAACUACAAGUACUUCAUAGCCAUCAAGUCUCCCAUUCUACUUGUGUGUGAUCAAAGCAUCUUAUCAUGUUAAUUCUGUACUGUUUUCAAGGACUUGUCACUGAUGGUUAGUGGGAUAUUUGGAAAGUUCUUAAUUUGAUAACGACCUUGUGUAUCCACUUAAUACUGCAAUGUAAAUCACUCAAUUGCAUUUCAACAAUUAAAACAUUUUUAUCCCUCUU